RNAcentral lists this ribosomal RNA (490 nucleotides) under uncultured bacterium. RNAcentral's name for it is "partial 16S ribosomal RNA". It matches the Rfam family "Bacterial small subunit ribosomal RNA", at positions 30 to 507 of the family's 1533-position model. The record is from RNAcentral.
AUUGAACGCUGGCGGCAGGCCUAACACAUGCAAGUCGAACGGUAACAGAAAGCAGCUUGCUGCUUUGCUGACGAGUGGCGGACGGGUGAGUAAUGUCUGGGAAACUGCCUGAUGGAGGGGGAUAACUACUGGAAACGGUAGCUAAUACCGCAUAACGUCGCAAGACCAAAGAGGGGGACCUUCGGGCCUCUUGCCAUCGGAUGUGCCCAGAUGGGAUUAGCUAGUAGGUGGGGUAACGGCUCACCUAGGCGACGAUCCCUAGCUGGUCUGAGAGGAUGACCAGCCACACUAGAACUGAGCCACGGUCCAGACUACUACGGGAGGCAGCAGUGGGGAAUAUUGCACAAUGGGAGGAAUCCUGAUGCAGCCAUGCCGCGUGUAUGAAGAAGGCCUUCGGGUUGUAAAAUACUUUCAGAGGGGAGGAAGGGAGUAAAGUUAAUACCUUUACUCAUUGACGUUACCCGCAGAAGAAGCACCGGAUAACUCCGUG